This is a long non-coding RNA of Myodes glareolus (Bank vole), 396 nucleotides long. RefSeq lists it as uncharacterized. The record is from RefSeq and is a predicted model, not a curated record. Lineage: Eukaryota; Metazoa; Chordata; Mammalia; Rodentia; Cricetidae.
ACUGGUCCACGUACAGCUGGGCCUCGCUGGCCUUGAGGAAGGCCAUGAACCUGGCGGUGAAGGAAGCCACAAAGAUGGACAGCAUGCCGAAAUCCAGCAGGUUCCACAGGUGACGGCUGAGAAAGGGUUUUGAUCUACAAGUUGAGAAAUGCUGGCCUUCACUACUGCUUUGAUGUAUAGACUUUCUGGACCUGUCACUGUCUGGUACUGUGGCCACCUUGUUACCCUCCAGCGGUCAUCACACUGUGUCUUGUGACUGUCUGAGUUUUCAUAAGCAGCAAGGGAAGCUGGAGACUCUGUCAGAGGAGCAGAUAUGGGCUACCAGAUCCGUGUCUUCCAGGAAGUCCAUCAAAGAAAGAUGGAGACACUUUGAGAAAGACACAACUCUUAAAGAUA